ACGCACGCUGGCGGCAUGCCUCACACAUGCAAGUCGCACGAGACCUUCGGGUCUAGUGGCGCACGGGUGCGUCACGCGUGGGAACCUGCCCUUAGGUUCGGAAUAACUCCCCGAAAGGGGUGCUAAUACCGGAUAAUGUCUUCGGACCAAAGAUUUAUCGCCUUUGGAUGGGCCCGCGUUGGAUUAGCUAGUUGGUAGGGUAAAAGCCUACCAAGGCGACGAUCCAUAGCUGGUCUGAGAGGACGAUCAGCCACACUGGGACUGAGACACGGCCCAGACUCCUACGGGAGGCAGCAGUGGGGAAUAUUGGACAAUGGGCGAAAGCCUGAUCCAGCAAUGCCGCGUGAGUGAUGAAGGCCUUAGGGUUGUAAAGCUCUUUUACCCGGGAUGAUAAUGACAGUACCGGGAGAAUAAGCUCCGGCUAACUCCGUG
Molecule: ribosomal RNA, 432 nt
Filed under: uncultured bacterium
Lineage: Bacteria
Description: partial 16S ribosomal RNA
Rfam family: Bacterial small subunit ribosomal RNA
Source: RNAcentral